AUUGAACGCUGGCGGCAGGCCUAACACAUGCAAGUCGAACGAGUGGCGGACGGGUGAGCAAUGAAUGGGAAUCUAGCUUAUGGAGGGGGAUAACUACGGGAAACUGUAGCUAAUACCGCGUACCAUAGGAUGAGCCCAAGUGGGUUUAGGUAGUUGGUGAGGUAAAGGCUCACCAAGCCGACGAUCUCUAGCUGGUCUGAGAGGAUGACCAGCCACACGGGUACUGAGACAUGGCCCAGACUCCUACGGGAGGUAGCAGUGGGGAAUAUUGCGCAAUGGGGGAAACCUGACGCAGCCAGGCCGGGUGAAUGAAGAAGGCCUUCGGGUUGUAAAGUUCUUUAGGUUGCGAGGCGUUAACUACAGAAUAAGCACCGGCUAACUCCGUGCCAGCAGCCGCGGUAAUUC
Molecule: ribosomal RNA, 405 nt
Filed under: uncultured bacterium
Lineage: Bacteria
Description: partial 16S ribosomal RNA
Rfam family: Bacterial small subunit ribosomal RNA
Source: RNAcentral